This 468-nucleotide ribosomal RNA is filed under the name uncultured bacterium. Its description in RNAcentral is "partial 16S ribosomal RNA". It matches the Rfam family "Bacterial small subunit ribosomal RNA", at positions 28 to 507 of the family's 1533-position model. The record is from RNAcentral.
GACGAACGCUGGCGGCGUGCUUAACACAUGCAAGUCGAACGGAAAGGCCCUGCUUUCGUGGGGUGUCCGAGUGGCGAACGGGUGAGUAACACGUGAGUAACCUGCCCUUGACUUUGGGAUAACUUCAGGAAACCGGGGCUAAUACCGGAUAGGAGCUCCUGCUGCAUGGUGGGGGUUGGAAAGCUUCGGCGGUUGGGGAUGGACUUGCGGCUUAUCAGCUUGUUGGUGGGGUAGUGGCUUACCCAGGCAUUGGCGGGUAGCCGGCCUGAGAGGGUGACCGGCCACAUUGGGACUGAGAGACGGCCCAGACUCCUACGGGAGGCAGCAGUGGGGAAUAUUGCACAAUGGGCGGAAGCCUGAUGCAGCAACGCCGCGUGCGGGAUGACGGCCUUCGGGUUGUAAACCGCUUUCGCCUGUGACGAAGCGUGAGUGACGGUAAUGGGUAAAGAAGCACCGGCUAACUACGUG